RNAcentral lists this ribosomal RNA (460 nucleotides) under uncultured bacterium. RNAcentral describes it as "partial 16S ribosomal RNA". It matches the Rfam family "Bacterial small subunit ribosomal RNA", at positions 338 to 795 of the family's 1533-position model. The record is from RNAcentral.
CCUACGGGAGGCAGCAGUGAGGAAUAUUGGUCAAUGGACGAGAGUCUGAACCAGCCAAGUAGCGUGAAGGAUGACUGCCCUAUGGGUUGUAAACUUCUUUUAUAUGGGAAUAAAAUGUUCCACGUUGGGGAUUUUGUAUGUACCAUAUGAAUAAGGAUCGGCUAACUCCUUGCCAGCAGCCGCGGUAAGACGGAAGAUCCGAGCGUUAUCCGGAUUUAUUGGGUUUCAAGGGGUCGUAAGUGGAUUGUUAAGUCAGUUGUGAAAGUUUACGGCUUAACCGUAAAAUUGCAGUUGAAACUGGAAGUCGUGAGUAAAGUAGAGGUGGGCGGAAUUCGUGGUGUAGCGGUGAAAUGCUUAGAUAUCACGAAGAACUCCGAUUGCGAAGGCAGUUCACUGGACUGUAACUGACACUGAGGCUCGAAAGUGUGGGUAUCAAACAGGAUUAGAUACCCUAGUAGUC